Borealophlyctis nickersoniae is the source of this 97-nucleotide non-coding RNA. Lineage: Eukaryota; Fungi; Chytridiomycota; Chytridiomycetes; Rhizophlyctidales; Borealophlyctidaceae. The record is from the annotation of a GenBank genome assembly.
GCUCGAUUGGCCUAGAUAGUGGUUAGAGCGUCGUGUAUGACCCCGGGAGGGCUCCAAACUAUUACACGAAGACACAGGUUCGACCCCUGUAUCGGGC